AAGUUUAGGUUUAACCAAACCAAGAGCCUUCAAAGCCCUAAAUAAGAGUCAACAACCCUCCUAAC
Molecule: transfer RNA, 65 nt
Filed under: Cyrtodactylus cf. triedrus
Lineage: Eukaryota; Metazoa; Chordata; Lepidosauria; Squamata; Gekkonidae
Description: tRNA-Trp
Source: RNAcentral